CAAGUAGAUCGCCUUAUCGAUCUUAUGCUGAAUUUACUUCAGCACAAGGUAGGAAAGUCCGAACACCAUAGUGCAACAUAGUGGCUAACAGCCACCAGCCUUGAGGUUAGGAAAAGUGCAACAGAAAGUAUGUACAGGUAAUGCUGUAGUGAAACCAGGUAAACUCUAUGUGGUGCAAUGUCAUGUAAACCAACGCUUGAGGGCGGCACGCUCGAUUGUUGGAGGGUAGGCAGCUAAAGUUUGCUGGUAACAGUAAACGCAGAUAAAUGAUAAGGAUCUUUUCUUAAAAAGAAAAGUAUACAGAAUUCGGCUUAUAGAUUUGCUUAGAUA
This 330-nucleotide RNase P RNA is filed under the name Winogradskyella sp. RNAcentral describes it as "RNase P RNA component class A". It matches the Rfam family "Bacterial RNase P class A". From Rfam's summary of the family: Ribonuclease P (RNase P) is a ubiquitous endoribonuclease, found in archaea, bacteria and eukarya as well as chloroplasts and mitochondria. The record is from RNAcentral. Lineage: Bacteria; Pseudomonadati; Bacteroidota; Flavobacteriia; Flavobacteriales; Flavobacteriaceae.